RNAcentral lists this ribosomal RNA (407 nucleotides) under uncultured bacterium. RNAcentral's name for it is "partial 16S ribosomal RNA". It matches the Rfam family "Bacterial small subunit ribosomal RNA", at positions 30 to 526 of the family's 1533-position model. The record is from RNAcentral.
AUUGAACGCUGGCGGCAGGCUUAACACAUGCAAGUCGAGCGGAGCGGCGGACGGGUGAGUAAUGCUUAGGAAUCUGCCUAUUAGUGGGGGACAACAUCUCGAAAGGGAUGCUAAUACCGCAUACUAAUCGAUGAGCCUAAGUCGGAUUAGCUAGUUGGUGGGGUAAAGGCCUCCCAUGGCGACGAUCUGUAGCGGGUCUGAGAGGGUGAUCCGCAACACUGGGACGGAGACACGGACCAGAAUCCUACGGGAGGCAGCAGUGGGGAAGAUUGGUCAAUGGGGGGAACCCGGAUCCAGCCAUGCCGAGUGCGGGAAGAAGGCCUUAGGGUUGUAAAGCACUUUAAGCGAGGAGGCGUUACUCGCAGAAUAAGCACCGGCUAACUCUGUGCCAGCAGCCGCGGUAAUUC